Molecule: ribosomal RNA, 559 nt
Filed under: uncultured eukaryote
Lineage: Eukaryota
Description: SSU rRNA
Rfam family: Eukaryotic small subunit ribosomal RNA
Source: RNAcentral
GGUUGAUCCUGCCAGUAGUCAUAUGCUUGUCUCAAAGAUUAAGCCAUGCAUGUCUAAGUAUAAGCAAUCUAUACGGUGAAACUGCGAAUGGCUCAUUAAAUCAGUUAUAGUUUAUUUGAUGAUGACUUUCUACAUGGAUAACUGUAGAAAACUAGAGCUAAUACAUGCAACUAAAGCCCCGACUUCUGGGAGGGGUGUAUUUAUUAGAUAAAAAACCAACGCGGCUCGCCGCUCGUUUGGUGAUUCAUAAUAACUUUUCGAAUCGCAUGGCCUUGUGCUGGCGAUGCUUCAUUCAAAUAUCUGCCCUAUCAACUUUCGAUGGUAGGAUAGUGGCCUACCAUGGUUUCAACGGGUAACGGGGAAUAAGGGUUCGAUUCCGGAGAGGGAGCCUGAGAAACGGCUACCACAUCCAUGGAAGGCAGCAGGCGCGCAAAUUACCCAAUCCCGACACGGGGAGGUAGUGACAAUAAAUAACGAUAUAGGGCUCUUUAGGGUCUUAUAAUUGGAAUGAGUACAAUUCAAAUCUCUUAACGAGGAACAAUUGGAGGGCAAGUCUGGU